This 253-nucleotide ribosomal RNA is filed under the name uncultured bacterium. RNAcentral describes it as "partial 16S ribosomal RNA". It matches the Rfam family "Bacterial small subunit ribosomal RNA", at positions 524 to 776 of the family's 1533-position model. The record is from RNAcentral.
UACGAAGGGGGCUAGCGUUGUUCGGAAUUACUGGGCGUAAAGGGCGCGUAGGCGGCCCGCUCAGUCAGAUGUGAAAGCCCCGGGCUCAACCUGGGAACUGCAUUUGAUACUGGCGGGCUUGAGUUCCGGAGAGGAUGGUGGAAUUCCCAGUGUAGAGGUGAAAUUCGUAGAUAUUGGGAAGAACACCGGUGGCGAAGGCGGCCAUCUGGACGGACACUGACGCUGAGGCGCGAAGGCUAGGGUAGCGAACGGG